This 512-nucleotide ribosomal RNA is filed under the name uncultured bacterium. RNAcentral describes it as "partial 16S ribosomal RNA". It matches the Rfam family "Bacterial small subunit ribosomal RNA", at positions 28 to 507 of the family's 1533-position model. The record is from RNAcentral.
GAUGAACGCUGGCGGCGUGCCUAAUACAUGCAAGUCGAACGAAACUUCUUUAUCACCGAGUGCUUGCACUCACCGAUAAAGAGUUGAGUGGCGAACGGGUGAGUAACACGUGGGCAACCUGCCCAAAAGAGGGGGAUAACACUUGGAAACAGGUGCUAAUACCGCAUAACCAUAGUUACCGCAUGGUAACUAUGUAAAAGGUGGCUAUACUACCGCUUUUGGAUGGGCCCGCGGCGCAUUAGCUAGUUGGUAGGGUAAAGGCUUACCAAGGCAAUGAUGCGUAGCCGAAGUGAGAGGUUGAUCGGCCACAUUGGGACUGAGGCACGGCCCAAACUCCUACGGGAGGCAGCAGUAGGGAAUCUUCCACAAUGGGCGAAAGCCUGAUGGAGCAACGCCGCGUGGGUGAAGAAGGUCUUCGGAUCGUAAAACCCUGUUGUUAGAGAAGAAAGUGCGUGAGAGUAACUGUUCACGUUUCGACGGUAUCUAACCAGAAAGCCACGGCUAACUACGUG